GUCCACGCCGUAAACGAUGUGGAUUAGGUGUUUGUGCCUUUGAGCCGUGGAUUCCGGAGUUAACCCCUUAAGUCACCCGCCUGGGGGGUACGGCCGCAAGGUUAAAAUUUAAAUGAAUUGAAGGGGGCCCGCCACAGCGGUGGAGCUUUUGGUUUAAUUUGGUGCAAAGGGAAGAACCUUACCUGGCUUUUACAUUCAUAGAAAUUCGCAAGAAUUUUUUGGUGCCUUCGGGAAUUAUAAGACAGGCUUUUCAUGGCUGUUGUCAGCUUGUGUUGUGAAUUUUUGGGUUAAGUCCCGCAACGAGCGCAACCCUUAUCCUUGGUUUCGAGCGGUUGGGCCGGGAAUUCAAAGCAGACUGCCGGUGAUAAACCGGAGGAAGGUGGGGAUGAGGUCAAGUCAUCAUGCCCCUUACGGCCAGGGCUACACACGUGGUACAAUGGCCA
RNAcentral lists this ribosomal RNA (443 nucleotides) under Pantoea sp. CZS-2,2B. RNAcentral's name for it is "bacterial SSU rRNA". It matches the Rfam family "Bacterial small subunit ribosomal RNA", at positions 793 to 1236 of the family's 1533-position model. Lineage: Bacteria; Pseudomonadati; Pseudomonadota; Gammaproteobacteria; Enterobacterales; Erwiniaceae. The record is from RNAcentral.